CCUCGAACUCCAGGCAAUUCUCCUGACUCAGUUGGGAUUACAGCUGUGCGUCACCACGCAGGGCCAGAGUUUCGUUUUUCUCUCUUUCCCACUUGGAGAAACCAUUGCUGCUGGGAGGUCAGGGAAUGAAGGUUGCCUCCCUAGCAGCAUUCUAUCCUCACUCCUUUCUCAGCUAACACUCUCUGGGUCUGAACAGAAAAAUAAUUUGAGUGUAGCUAAUUAAAAAGGGGUGGGGAUCGUAGUGUAUCCCUGUAAUCCCAGAGCUCAGGAGGCUGAGGCAGGAUGAUCUCAAUGACUUCAAGGCCAGCCCGAGCUACCUAAUGAGUUGGAGGCCAGCCUGAACUACAUAGCUUGCAAGACCCUGUCUCAAAAAACAAGCAGAAAAAAGUAUGCAGGUUUGAGAUAAGAGAUUACGGCGUGCAAUGCUGGCUGGGGUAGUAGGCAUGACCUGUUAAUUACAAGAUCCCAGACACAUGCACAGAAGAGUUCCCAGAGCCCUGCAUGUGGACUUCUCGUGAGAAUUUGAGCAGAUUUUCAGUAGGCAGUCUAGAUCUGAUGUCACCCUGAGGAGACCUGGGAGCCCAGCAUUGCCUCUUAGGAUCCAUAUGUAGUUCUCGAGGUUUUCCUUGAAAUUUGGACAAUAUAAAGGAUAUGCAGCACUGCGCCUGCCUGGCAAGCAUAAGGUCCUGAGUUCAAGUCCUAGUACCCACACAGAUGCUGUGAAGAGUACUCUAUGUUCCCAGACACAGCAUGUUCUUUUAGUUUUGCUUUUACCUUCUUUUUCUCUUCACUCAGCCCAAACUCACUCCGCAGAGUUUCUCCCCAACUCUUCACUUCUUUUUUAACUCUUCGCUUUUACUUUCUGCAGUAAAUUUGGCCAUUGCUUUUUGCUCAUUUUGUUCAAGUCUUUGUUUGAGACAAGAAGAACCUGGAAUCUAACUCCAGACGGAGAGGCAAGCAACCCAGAACCCAGUAACAUUUAGUUGGCGAGCCACUUUUAGAAGCAAGCUACCGGAUAACAGGUUUGCUGACUCCCGUCACGGAAAAAGAACUUUCAGGACUUAUCUCAAGAUGCCCCCCUUCCCACCCCCAUGGUCAGUUCUGUGCACACAUCUCUCACAGCAGAGAACAGGGAAGGGCCAGCAGGGGUAGGGGCUGCUUUUGUUCACCAAGCCCCAUUUCAUCCAGAAUGCCAAUGCAUAUGGAGCUCCAGAGUUCUGGAACUAGGCGAACAUACAAGUGGAGGCUUCAGCUAGCCUCAGAUGGAAGAUGGAGGCAGGAAGGACAUCAGAGCCCAGGAGGGCAACUGGAGCCACAGGCUGCCUCUCUCCCAGCAGCUCUACGAAGUUCUGGCUGAAAAGUUAUCCCAGACAACUACAUGUGAUGUGGAAG
Heterocephalus glaber (naked mole-rat) is the source of this 1392-nucleotide long non-coding RNA. NCBI's taxonomy places the organism in Eukaryota, Metazoa, Chordata, Mammalia, Rodentia, Bathyergidae. The record is from Ensembl.